CAGCACCUCAAGUGGUCAGGAUGAUUAUUGGGCCUAAAGCAUCCGUAGCCUGUUCUGUAAGUUUCCGGUUAAAUCCAUUAGCUCAACUAAUGGGCUGCCGAAAAUACUGCAGAACUAGGGAGUGGGAGAGGUAGACGGUACUCGGUAGGAAGGGGUAAAAUCCUUUGAUCUAUUGAUGACCACCUGUGGCGAAGGCGGUCUACCAGAACACGUUCGACGGUGAGGGAUGAAAGCUGGGGGAGCAAACCGGAUUAGAUACCCGCGUAGUCC
Molecule: ribosomal RNA, 270 nt
Filed under: uncultured archaeon
Lineage: Archaea
Description: partial 16S ribosomal RNA
Rfam family: Archaeal small subunit ribosomal RNA
Source: RNAcentral